CGCGGGGUAGAGCAGUCUGGUAGCUCAACAGGCUCAUAACCUGUAGGUCGCUGGUUCAAAUCCAGUCCCCGCAA
Molecule: transfer RNA, 74 nt
Filed under: Candidatus Neoehrlichia procyonis str. RAC413
Lineage: Bacteria; Pseudomonadati; Pseudomonadota; Alphaproteobacteria; Rickettsiales; Anaplasmataceae
Description: Candidatus Neoehrlichia lotoris str. RAC413 tRNA
Rfam family: tRNA
About the family: Transfer RNA (tRNA) molecules are approximately 80 nucleotides in length.
Source: Rfam by way of RNAcentral